UGUUCCUCCCUCCCUGGAGGGCAGCAGCUCCAAGGGCUCCACACAACACAAAAUUACAGCAGCUUCAUUCAAGAGACGCUGAAGAAAUGCUGUUAUAGAUAAUGCCACAUUGGCUUCAUAAAACUUUGAAGGAGAGAUACUGUUGGAAAGAAGGAAGCAAACAAGCAAAGGAGGAAGGAAGGAAGCAAGGAAGGAAGGAAGCCCACAAAGAGAGAAGAGACAAAACAGAUUAAUUCCUUUUCUUUUGGUUCACCUCUUCUGAACUUUCCUGUAGUCGCUGCUGUUCACAAAAAGCCAUCACCAUUUUCAGAAUUUUUUCAGGGUGCUUGUCCCCAUUUCGUUUCUUAAGAUGGAUAUGUGGAAUCCGGCAUCACUGUGACAAAAUCUGUCCUUUGUUGCAUCUGCACCGGCAUCCAAUUCCCCAGCUGAGCAUUCCAGAGCUCUGGCAAACCACGCUGAGCAAAUGGAGACUGAAGCUGCCUUGAUCUUUUGUAAAAUAGCAAAAUAAUAGCAGCAGCAAGAAUUAUCAGAGGUCUGUCAGCAUUUCUAUAGCACUUAUCUGUCUCUCAGGGGAUGCACAAGUUGUCACAAGAAUCCAAAGCAGUGGUAAGGAUGGCAUCUAUAAGCAUGGCUGGAAGACGGUCACACCACCACCAAGAGGGAAAAAACAACUUUUCAAUUUUCUAGUCUUCACAUACAGCAAUAAUUCAGUACUUCAGAAAUAAAGAUGAAAAACAGAAGCCAAACAACAUCACCAAACAGCUUACAUUUCUGUGGCAUACAGGUCCCUUUGGAGACACUUGCCUAAUUUUGAGCUCAAACCACAAGCAUUUACUCCCUAAUUCCAGCUUCAGCUCAGUAAUGAGACUUACAUUCAUCUUCUGUAGUGCACAGAGCUCUCCUGGUGUGAAAUUCACUCUUAGUGUAAAAGAUAUGAAGGUCUAAUGUGCAGAAAGAGCUUCUCUCUUAUAAAGUACUGCUGUUAGGAAAUAUUAUGGUCAGGUGCUUAAAUAAAUGUUUAUCACUUUCCAUAAAUGUCUCAUAGCUCUUUUUUAAAGAACUUACUAGCAAAGGUAUGCCUUUGCAACUACAAAAAAAGAGAAACAAACAAGAAAGGUGAGAUCCAAAAUAAUGAAAAGUGCUGACCAUAUAGCCCGUGCUAAGGUUAUUUUAAAAAGACAAUAAAUUUUGUUGUUCUUGUUGACAUAAGACUAAAUAUAAAGCAAAAGACACAUGCACAAGUGCAAAAUUAUCCUGACAAUCUUGGGAGUCUGCUUGAACCCUGUUUCCAAAAUGGCAAUAUUUUCUUGUAAGCCUGUAAUGAUUUUCCCAUCUGGGCCAUGUACAACUUUUGUUUAAAACAGAAAAUUGAUCACGGCAGGAGAUGCAAAGAGAGAGGAACUUCUUCCAGUCAUUGUGGAAUUAUAUGAAAACUGAGUAACUGAUAAUCAGCCUCUUACAAGGCUCUAUACUAACUAACAUUCCCAAUCAAUCCCAGUGAUUUUACCAAGUCUGUGUGUAGUCAUACAUUAUUUGAGUAUAUUAUUGCUCAGCUCACAUUAGCACAAUCUGCCCCUACUAUUCUGUAUUUACACAUAAAAUAAAUUUCUGAGCCAAACUGCAAAUAGAUUUCUAGCAUUUUACAACAGAACCAAAUAGCCCUUAAAAUGUGAUGUAUCUACUUGUUCAGACACUUUGGUGAUUCUUGCCUUACUGAAUACAGUAUUUUCUUUGUUGUUUCCAUUGUUGUAUUUGUUUGCAAUAAAGUAUUUGUGACAGUUUCUAUUACUAGCUUCUAGGCUGACUACAGCAACAAAAUACAGUAAU
Long non-coding RNA from Columba livia (rock pigeon), 1827 nucleotides. RefSeq lists it as uncharacterized. The transcript is spliced from 3 exons. The record is from RefSeq and is a predicted model, not a curated record. Lineage: Eukaryota; Metazoa; Chordata; Aves; Columbiformes; Columbidae.